GUCGAGCGGAAACGAGUUAACUGAACCUUCGGGGGACGUUAACGGCGUCGAGCGGCGGACGGGUGAGUAAUGCCUGGGAAAUUGCCCUGAUGUGGGGGAUAACCAUUGGAAACGAUGGCUAAUACCGCAUAAUAGCUUCGGCUCAAAGAGGGGGACCUACGGGCCUCUCGCGUCAGGAUAUGCCCAGGUGGGAUUAGCUAGUUGGUGAGGUAAUGGCUCACCAAGGCGACGAUCCCUAGCUGGUCUGAGAGGAUGAUCAGCCACACUGGAACUGAGACACGGUCCAGACUCCUACGGGAGGCAGCAGUGGGGAAUAUUGCACAAUGGGCGCAAGCCUGAUGCAGCCAUGCCGCGUGUGUGAAGAAGGCCUUCGGGUUGUAAAGCACUUUCAGCAGUGAGGAAGGCGGGUACGUUAAUAGCGUGCUCGUUUGACGUUAGCUGCAGAAGAAGCACCGGCUAACUCCGUGCCAGCAGCCGCGGUAAUACGGAGGGUGCGAGCGUUAAUCGGAAUUACUGGGCGUAAAGCGCAUGCAGGUGGUUAGUUAAGUCAGAUGUGAAAGCCCGGGGCUCAACCUCGGAACUGCAUUUGAAACUGGCUGACUAGAGUACUGUAGAGGGGGGUAGAAUUUCAGGUGUAGCGGUGAAAUGCGUAGAGAUCUGAAGGAAUACCGGUGGCGAAGGCGGCCCCCUGGACAGAUACUGA
This 703-nucleotide ribosomal RNA is filed under the name uncultured bacterium. RNAcentral's name for it is "bacterial SSU rRNA". It matches the Rfam family "Bacterial small subunit ribosomal RNA", at positions 61 to 743 of the family's 1533-position model. The record is from RNAcentral.